CAGGUGUUGUGAUCUGGAGAAGCUCAAGUAGUCAUCUUCGUCCAUCACGUCACUGCAUACGCAUACGCCUCUGAUUUUUGGCUCCUGCUCAAAGGAAUAGGAACGUUUCCCGCAAAAAAAAAGGAAUAGGAAUGUGCUCCUCCCAAAAGACAAUAAAAAUCCAGCACCAACAAUGAAUAGCCGGAGUAAACAAAACAAGCAGACCAAAUCGUGUCGGCCCUCGAGGAAGGGUUGCAGUGUCGAGGAGCAGCAGGCAUGUAAAUCUGACUGCAAUUCAUGUCACGGUGGAUGGUUGAGAGGAGGGAGGCAGAGCAGAGACAAACGGCGCAUUCCGCCAUGCAUGUGUGUGGAUUUGUAUCAUCCUACUACUGUGUUGCUUUGUUUUACAGUAAUAAAUAAAGAGAUGAAUCAGAUUUUCUUUGGUUCGUUAGCAAAAUUUUACA
Long non-coding RNA from Triticum aestivum (bread wheat), 443 nucleotides. RefSeq lists it as uncharacterized. The record is from RefSeq and is a predicted model, not a curated record. Lineage: Eukaryota; Viridiplantae; Streptophyta; Magnoliopsida; Poales; Poaceae. The transcript has 3 exons.